RNAcentral lists this transfer RNA (73 nucleotides) under Stegodyphus mimosarum. It matches the Rfam family "tRNA". Rfam says of the family: Transfer RNA (tRNA) molecules are approximately 80 nucleotides in length. Their secondary structure includes four short double-helical elements and three loops (D, anti-codon, and T loops). Further hydrogen bonds mediate the characteristic L-shaped molecular structure. tRNAs have two regions of fundamental functional importance: the anti-codon, which is responsible for specific mRNA codon recognition, and the 3' end, to which the tRNAs corresponding amino acid is attached (by aminoacyl-tRNA synthetases). tRNAs cope with the degeneracy of the genetic code in two manners: having more than one tRNA (with a specific anti-codon) for a particular amino acid; and 'wobble' base-pairing, i.e. permitting non-standard base-pairing at the 3rd anti-codon position. The record is from Rfam by way of RNAcentral. Lineage: Eukaryota; Metazoa; Arthropoda; Arachnida; Araneae; Eresidae.
GCCUUCGUGGUGUAAUGGUCAGCACGCUCGGCGCGUAUUCGAGAGGUCCGAGGUUCGAGUCCCUGCGUGAGCA